UCAUUCGGGGGCUCACGUUCUUGUAUUGGAUGAUGGGAAUUUUAAAACCUCUUCCAGAGUAUCAAUUGGAGGGCAAGUCUGGUGCCAGCAGCCGCGGAAAUUCCAGCUCCAAGAGCGUAUAUUAAAAUUGUUGCAGUUAAAAAGCUCGAAGUUGAAUUUCUGCUGCAUCGCCGUGUCCCCUCUGGGCCUCUGCGUGUGUUUUAUUUCAAAUGGAUUUCCCUGUGUCUGCAGGGCACUUUUUGAAAAUAAGAGAGCUCAAAGCCGCUUUUGCCUCUUUAAUAUUGUAGCAAAAAAUAAAAACUUGAGACUUUUUUUCUUUUUUUGGGGCAAAGUACCCGAUAAAUGGGAAAUAUGGGGGCAUUUGGGCAUUCACAUUUCAAUGUCAAAUGUGAGAAUCUCAGAGA
RNAcentral lists this ribosomal RNA (404 nucleotides) under Theileria parva. RNAcentral describes it as "partial 18S ribosomal RNA". It matches the Rfam family "Eukaryotic small subunit ribosomal RNA", at positions 477 to 926 of the family's 1831-position model. The record is from RNAcentral. Lineage: Eukaryota; Apicomplexa; Aconoidasida; Piroplasmida; Theileriidae.